RNAcentral lists this ribosomal RNA (440 nucleotides) under uncultured bacterium. RNAcentral describes it as "partial 16S ribosomal RNA". It matches the Rfam family "Bacterial small subunit ribosomal RNA", at positions 338 to 795 of the family's 1533-position model. The record is from RNAcentral.
CCUACGGGCGGCUGCAGUAGGGAAUAUUGCUCAAUGGGGGAAACCCUGAAGCAGCAACGCCGCGUGGAGGAUGAAGGUUUUCGGAUUGUAAACUCCUUUUGUUAGAGAAGAUAAUGACGGUAUCUAACGAAUAAGCACCGGCUAACUCCGUGCCAGCAGCCGCGGUAAUACGGAGGGUGCAAGCGUUACUCGGAUUCACUGGGCGGAAAGAGCGCGUAGGCGGGAUAGCAAGUCAGAUGUGAAAUCCUAUGGCUUAACCAUAGAACUGCAUUUGAAACUGUUAUUCUAGAGUAUGGGAGAGGUAGGUGGAAUUCUUGGUGUAGGGGUAAAAUCCGUAGAGAUCAAGAGGAAUACUCAUUGCGAAGGCGACCUGCUAGAACAUAACUGACGCUGAUGCGCGAAAGCGUGGGGAGCAAACAGGAUUAGAUACCCGGGUAGUC